CUACCAAGACAGUGACGGUUGACGGGAAAUGAGGGUUUUAUUCCGGAGAGGGAGCCUGAGAGAUGGCUGCCACGUCCAAGGACGGCAGCAGGCGCGAAACUUGCCCACUCUUUUGAGAGGAGGCGGUUAGGAGACGUGUUUGAAAGGACUAAGAGCAAAGAAGUUAGUUUGAAGCGAUUGGAGGGCAAGUUUGGUGCCAGCAGCCGCGGUAAUACCGACUCCAAGAGUGUCUAUGGUGGAUGCUGCAGUUAAAAAGUCCGUAGUUGAGAAUGGAAUUACAGGGUAUUGAUUGAGGAUACUGGGAUUUCUAGGAGUGGAGGAACGGAUAGGGAACAUAGUAUAGAUAGGCGAGAGAUGAAAUGACGAAGACCCUAUGUGGACUGACAGAGGCGAAAGCGGUGUUCUUAUACGAAUCAGAUGAUCAAGGACGAAGGCUGGAGUAUCGAAAGUGAUUAGAUACCGCUGUAGUUCCAGCAGUAAAAGAUGCC
This 488-nucleotide ribosomal RNA is filed under the name Microsporidia sp. Its description in RNAcentral is "bacterial SSU rRNA". It matches the Rfam family "Microsporidia small subunit ribosomal RNA", at positions 200 to 696 of the family's 1311-position model. The record is from RNAcentral. Lineage: Eukaryota; Fungi; Microsporidia.